Long non-coding RNA from Nematostella vectensis (starlet sea anemone), 1220 nucleotides. RefSeq lists it as uncharacterized. The record is from RefSeq and is a predicted model, not a curated record. The transcript has 2 exons. Lineage: Eukaryota; Metazoa; Cnidaria; Anthozoa; Actiniaria; Edwardsiidae.
UCAAUUUUUAACGAAAUCCGUUUCUAGCUAAAUUACAUCCAUAGCUUUAUUGUGUUCGAUUCUCGCAAUGAAAAAAACCGUCUCAUUUGACCUGACUUAGGACCGCUAAUGGAAUAAUAGAAUAGUUAAACUAAUGACUUAAAGUAGGUGAGCAAAGUUUAAUCGACUUCGACGUACAUGGUGGCAGCGGGGCGAAAUUCAACACAAUUUUAUUAAUGCUCCUGACGACGAAGAAUUCACACGAGGCGGCCCGUUUUAUCGCGAUGUUAAGAGGAAUUGUAUCCUCACUAGCUGGAGGGGCUAACGUACACAGCUCGACCGCAACCGGAUCAUUGGCUUUUAAGUAAUUGGCGCCAAGCAGGUGUCAGCCUGAAGUACAGAGAAGUACGGCCUUUGAAAACGGUUGGAGUUAUUAAAGGUGAACGCCAAUUAAACGAUUUCACGCGUGUAAAUAGCUCGAUUAGCUCAAACUAGAGAAAGCAGCUAAUGAUAUAGAAGCUUGGUUAAUCAAUCUUUACUCAAAACUGAAGGCUAUAAAUUCAACGAACGGGGGCUGCCUUUUGGCUUCAACACCUAUUUAAAGAUCAAUCAUUUCCAAAGUCGCGACUGAUGCGGGUACGAAGAUGAUGCCUAUCGCAAGAAUAUCUGUGGUCUUGCUGGUUAUUCUAACCGUUCUCAAAACUCCCGUUAAAUCGCAAAAUAAUUGGCCUUGUGUCUUCUCGUACACCAAAUGCAAGCGCAGUCAGGUUGUUACUGAAGAGCAAGACCGCAAAAAUGAUAAACAGUUGAUAUCAUCGCCGCCAGAAGAGCUCUCUCCCGAUAAAAUACUAGACCUACGACAGCUUCUCUUAAGAUGGCAGGAACAGCAAAAACGCACGGCAGAAUCGAGAUCCUGAAGAAGAAAACACCGAGCGGAGAGACGCGUGCGCGAAAAAGAGACAAAAUUCGACAAAAUACACGUACAUGCCACCUAUAUAACUGCGUAAUAGGAAAGACACAUGCAAACCAAUAGUAAAUAACUCACAGAUAAACAAACAAUACUUCUAAAGUAGGUCUUUUGACUGUAAGGGACUGAUUAUGAACUGAAACUGUCCAUUAAAUGAUAAAAGAAUAGAAGUAAAGGUAAACGGUUAAAUCAAACAUUCCACAUAUAAGCAUAACAACCUUUCACAGAAAUUGUCAUGACAUCCGUUGUCAAUGCAUUAAUAAAGAAAUAAUGU